RNAcentral lists this ribosomal RNA (301 nucleotides) under uncultured bacterium. RNAcentral's name for it is "partial 16S ribosomal RNA". It matches the Rfam family "Bacterial small subunit ribosomal RNA", at positions 509 to 809 of the family's 1533-position model. The record is from RNAcentral.
CAGCCGCCGCGGUAAUACAGAGGGUGCAAGCGUUAAUCGGAAUUACUGGGCGUAAAGCGCGCGUAGGUGGUUCGCCAAGUUGGAUGUGAAAUCCCCGGGCUCAACCUGGGAACUGCAUCCAAAACUGGCGAGCUAGAGUAUGGUAGAGGGUGGUGGAAUUUCCUGUGUAGCGGUGAAAUGCGUAGAUAUAGGAAGGAACAUCAGUGGCGAAGGCGACCACCUGGACUGAUACUGACACUGAGGUGCGAAAGCGUGGGGAGCAAACAGGAUUAGAUACCCGUGUAGUCCCUGUCUCUUAUAA